GACGAACGCUGGCGGCGUGCUUAACACAUGCAAGUCGAACGGAAAGGCCCUGCUUUUGUGGGGUGCUCGAGUGGCGAACGGGUGAGUAACACGUGAGUAACCUGCCCUUGACUUUGGGAUAACUUCAGGAAACUGGGGCUAAUACCGGAUCGGAGCUCCUGCUGCAUGGUGGGGGUUGGAAAGUUUCGGCGGUUGGGGAUGGACUCGCGGCUUAUCAGCUUGUUGGUGGGGUAGUGGAUUACCAAGGCUUUGACGGGUAGCCGGCCUGGGAGGGUGACCGGCCACAUUGGGACUGAGAUACGGCCCAGACUCCUACGGGAGGCAGCAGUGGGGAAUAUUGCACAAUGGGCGGAAGCCGGAUGCAGCAACGCCGCGGGCGGGAUGACGGCCUUCGGGUUGUAAACCGCUUUCGCCUGUGACGAAGCGUGAGUGACGGUAAUGGGUAAAGAAGCACCGGCUAACUACGUG
This 468-nucleotide ribosomal RNA is filed under the name uncultured bacterium. Its description in RNAcentral is "partial 16S ribosomal RNA". It matches the Rfam family "Bacterial small subunit ribosomal RNA", at positions 28 to 507 of the family's 1533-position model. The record is from RNAcentral.